AAAAAAGUUAGCUGACUUAAAGUUAGUGGAACCAAAUUUAACGGAAGCUAACUGGUCCGCUAGUGGUUUUCGAAGUGGUCUGAAAAGCCAAUC
Molecule: long non-coding RNA, 93 nt
Organism: Thalassophryne amazonica
Lineage: Eukaryota; Metazoa; Chordata; Actinopteri; Batrachoidiformes; Batrachoididae
Exons: 3
Source: RefSeq, a predicted model, not a curated record